AUGGCAAGCCGUUCAGGAAAUAAUUAUAUUUAUAAUAUGAAGUCUGAAUAUAUAUGGAAUGAAAGUCUGAAUAUAUAGAAUGAAAGUCUGAAUAUAUAUAGAAUAAAAGUCUGAAUAUAUAGAAUGAAAGUCUGAAUAUAUAUAGAAUGAAAGUCUGAAUAUAUAUAGAAUGAAAGUCUGAAUAUAUAUAGAAUAAAAGUCUGAAUAUAUAAAACGAAAGUCUGAAUAUAUGGAAUGAAAAUCUGAUGUUAUCAGUGCCAUCUUGUGUUAUUCGUCUACUAUUUUUUUUAUUCACAUUUUGAGCAAUGAGCGAGUCCGCACAAAAUUUAGUAGCAGCAAUUUUAAGUAACGAUCAUCUAAUUAACACCCUGGCGAAUGCGUGUACGGGCCAAAAUAUUGGCAACCGUACACAACAUCGUUCUACUGAUGAAGAAAUUUAUUCGUUAUUUCAUCGCGGAAGAGCGAAUGCGGUGAACUUCACAGCCCAGGAAGUUCCUGCUUAUCAAGCAAACAUUACAGACUUUCAUUCUAUAUAUAUUCAGACUUUCAUUCUAUAUAUUCAGACUUUCAUUCCAUAUAUAUUCAGACUUUCAUUCUAUAUAUUCAGACUUUCAUUCUAUAUAUAUUCAGACUUCCAUUCUAUAUAUUCAGACUUUCAUUCUAUAUAUAUUCAGACUUUCAUUCUAUAUAUAUUCAGACUUUCAUUCUAUAUAUAUUCAGACUUUCAUUCUAUAUAUUCAGACUUUCAUUCUAUAUAUAUUCAGACUUUCAUUCUAUAUAUUCAGACUUUCAUUCUAUAUAUAUUCAGACUUUCAUUCUAUAUAUUCAGACUUUCAUUCUAUAUAUAUUCAGACUUUCAUUCUAUAUAUUCAGACUUUCAUUCUAUAUAUAUUCAGACUUUCAUUCCAUAUAUAUUCAGACUUUCAUUCUAUAUAUAUUCAGACUUUCAUUCCAUAUAUUCAGACAUUCGUUUUAUAUAUUAAGACUUUCAUUCUAUAUAUAUUCAGACUUCAUAUUAUAAAUA
This is a long non-coding RNA of Cyprinus carpio carpio, 1024 nucleotides long. The record is from Ensembl. Lineage: Eukaryota; Metazoa; Chordata; Actinopteri; Cypriniformes; Cyprinidae.